ACGCACGCUGGCGGCAUGCCUCACCCAUGCAAGUCGAACGAGACCUUCGGGUCUAGUGGCGCACGGGUGCGUCACGCGUGGGAACCUGCCCUUAGGUUCGGAAUAACUCCCCGAAAGGGGUGCUAAUACCGGAUAAUGUCUUCGGACCAAAGAUUUAUCGCCUUUGGAUGGGCCCGCGUUGGAUUAGCUAGUUGGUAGGGUAAAAGCCUACCAAGGCGACGAUCCAUAGCUGGUCUGAGAGGAUGAUCAGCCACACUGGGACUGAGACACGGCCCAGACUCCUACGGGAGGCAGCAGUGGGGAAUAUUGGACAAUGGGCGAAAGCCUGAUCCAGCAAUGCCGCGUGAGUGAUGAAGGCCUUAGGGUUGUAAAGCUCUUUUACCCGGGAUGAUAAUGACAGUACCGGGAGAAUAAGCUCCGGCUAACUCCGUG
This 432-nucleotide ribosomal RNA is filed under the name uncultured bacterium. RNAcentral describes it as "partial 16S ribosomal RNA". It matches the Rfam family "Bacterial small subunit ribosomal RNA", at positions 29 to 507 of the family's 1533-position model. The record is from RNAcentral.